UACGAAGGGGGCUAGCGUUGCUCGGAAUCACUGGGCGUAAAGCGCACGUAGGCGGAUUGUUAAGUCAGGGGUGAAAUCCCGGAGCUCAACUCCGGAACUGCCUUUGAUACUGGGUGUCUUGAGUGUGGAAGAGGUGAGUGGAAUUCCGAGUGUAGAGGUGAAAUUCGUAGAUAUUCGGAGGAACACCAGUGGCGAAGGCGGCUCACUGGUCCAUUACUGACGCUGAGGAGCGAAAGCGUGGGGAGCAAACCGG
This 253-nucleotide ribosomal RNA is filed under the name uncultured bacterium. RNAcentral describes it as "partial 16S ribosomal RNA". It matches the Rfam family "Bacterial small subunit ribosomal RNA", at positions 524 to 776 of the family's 1533-position model. The record is from RNAcentral.